Molecule: ribosomal RNA, 280 nt
Filed under: uncultured bacterium
Lineage: Bacteria
Description: partial 16S ribosomal RNA
Rfam family: Bacterial small subunit ribosomal RNA
Source: RNAcentral
AACGAACGCUGGCGGCAUGCUUAACACAUGCAAGUCGAACGCUCCAGCUUGCUAGAGAGUGGCAGACGGGUGAGUAACGCGUGGGAACGUACCUUUCAGUUCGGGACAACACAUGGAAACGUGUGCUAAUACCGGAUAUACUGGAGACAGGAAAGAUUUAUCGCUGAGAGAGCGGCCCGCGUUAGAUUAGGUAGUUGGUGGGGUAAAGGCCUACCAAGCCUGCGAUCUAUAGCUGGUUUGAGAGGAUGAUCAGCCACACUGGGACUGAGACACGGCCCAG